GCCGGAGGGAGCGGGCCGGCAGGAGAGGGGCUGCUUCCAGCUGGCUGCAGUGCGGACGGGACCGGCGCGCUCCCGUGGCCCCCAGACCGAGGUGGUCAAACCUGUCCUGACACCCAGAGGUCUGCAUGAGGGGUGGCCACUGAAGGAGGAGUUCUCAAAGGCCACAGGUGAUGAAGAGCUUGGAUGAAUGAACUUCUGUCCCAGG
Pan troglodytes (chimpanzee) is the source of this 205-nucleotide long non-coding RNA. RefSeq lists it as uncharacterized. The record is from RefSeq and is a predicted model, not a curated record. The transcript has 2 exons. NCBI's taxonomy places the organism in Eukaryota, Metazoa, Chordata, Mammalia, Primates, Hominidae.